Small nuclear RNA from Psammomys obesus (fat sand rat), 104 nucleotides. NCBI's taxonomy places the organism in Eukaryota, Metazoa, Chordata, Mammalia, Rodentia, Muridae. The record is from RefSeq and is a predicted model, not a curated record.
GAGCUCCCUGCGGCAGCACAUAUACUAAAAUUGGAACUAUACAGAGAUUAGCAUGGCCACAGAGCACAGAUGACAUGCAAAUUCAUGAAGCAUUCCAUAUUUUU